This is a small nuclear RNA of 107 nucleotides. Its record names the gene U1. It matches the Rfam family "U1 spliceosomal RNA". Rfam says of the family: U1 is a small nuclear RNA (snRNA) component of the spliceosome (involved in pre-mRNA splicing). The record is from Ensembl.
AUACUUACCUGGCAGGGGCGAUACCAUGAUCACGAAGGUGGUUCACCCAGGGUGAGGCUCUGCCAUUGCACUUGGGUGGUGCUGACCCUUGCGAAUUCCCCAAAUGC